RNAcentral lists this ribosomal RNA (300 nucleotides) under uncultured Chloroflexus sp. RNAcentral's name for it is "bacterial SSU rRNA". The stretch from base 52 to 300 matches the Rfam family "Bacterial small subunit ribosomal RNA", at positions 547 to 795 of the family's 1533-position model. Lineage: Bacteria; Bacillati; Chloroflexota; Chloroflexia; Chloroflexales; Chloroflexaceae. The record is from RNAcentral.
GCUCGUUGUGGGGAGGCGGCCGGGGUGAGCGGUGGGGGGCGAGGGUUGGCCGGAAUUAUGGGGCUGAAAGGGCGCGUGGGCGGGGGGUGGCGUCGGAGGUGAAAGCCCGGGGCUGAAGUCCGGGUCUGCAGUCGAUACGGGCAGGCUAGAGUUCGGUAGGGGAGAUCGGAAUUCCUGGUGUAGCGGUGAAAUGCGCAGAUAUCAGGAGGAACACCGGUGGCGAAGGCGGAUCUCUGGGCCGAUACUGACGCUGAGGAGCGAAAGCGUGGGGAGCGAACAGGAUUAGAUACCCGUGUAGUC